Molecule: ribosomal RNA, 252 nt
Filed under: uncultured bacterium
Lineage: Bacteria
Description: partial 16S ribosomal RNA
Rfam family: Bacterial small subunit ribosomal RNA
Source: RNAcentral
GACAGAGGGUGCAAACGUUGUUCGGAAUUACUGGGCGUAAAGCGUGUGUAGGCUGCCCCGCAAGUCGGGUGUGAAAGCCCCGGGCUCAACCUGGGAAGUGCACUCGAAACUGCAAAGCUGGAGUCCUGGAGAGGAAGGCGGAAUUCUCGGUGUAGAGGUGAAAUUCGUAGAUAUCGAGGGAACACCGGUGGCGAAGGCGGCCUUCUGGACAGUGACUGACGCUGAGACGCGAAAGCGUGGGGAGCAAACAGG